GAUGAACGCUGGCGGCGUGCCUAAUACAUGCAAGUCGAGCGAACGGACGAGAAGCUUGCUUCUCUGAUGUUAGCGGCGGACGGGUGAGUAACACGUGGAUAACCUACCUAUAAGACUGGGAUAACUUCGGGAAACGGAGCUAAUACCGGAUAAUAUUUUGAACCGCCUGGUUCAAAAGUAAAAGACGGUCUUUCUGUCACUUAUAGCUGGAUCCGCGCUGCAUUAGCUAGUUGGUAAGGUAACGGCUUACCAAGGCAACGAUGCAUAGCCGACCUGAGAGGGUGAUCGGCCACACUGGAACUGAGACACGGUCCAGACGCCUACGGGAGGCAGCAGUAGGGAAUCUUCCGCAAUGGGCGAAAGCCUGACGGAGCAACGCCGCGUGAGUGAUGAAGGUCUUCGGAUCGUAAAACUCUGUUAUUAGGGAAGAGCAUAUGUGUAAGUAACUGUGCACAUCUUGACGGUACCUAAUCAGAAAGCCACGGCUAACUACGUG
This 496-nucleotide ribosomal RNA is filed under the name uncultured bacterium. RNAcentral's name for it is "partial 16S ribosomal RNA". It matches the Rfam family "Bacterial small subunit ribosomal RNA", at positions 28 to 507 of the family's 1533-position model. The record is from RNAcentral.